UGUGUGUGUAUAUAUAUAUGUGUGUGUGUGUAUAUGUAUGUGUAUAUGUAUACAUAUAUAUUCCAUUAGUUCUGUACAUAUAUAUACACACACAUAUAUAUACAUGUAUGUAUACA
This 116-nucleotide microRNA precursor is filed under the name Chlorocebus sabaeus (green monkey). RNAcentral describes it as "miRNA (ENSCSAG00000026203.1)". Lineage: Eukaryota; Metazoa; Chordata; Mammalia; Primates; Cercopithecidae. The record is from RNAcentral.